GGUUGUGUUUUCUAUAUACAUUUUUAAGCUGCUAAAUUAGAAGCUAAGGAAUUCCCAGCAACAAAGAACUCUCUGAUUUCCUGGACGCAUCGACGAUCACUUGUAAGCAUGGACGUAGUCCUGGAAAUAGAAGUUCUUCUCGAUGAAGUUGGCGAGCCAGCGGGAGGCGGCGAAGCACAGCACGGCCGCAGCCACGACGGCGGAUCUCUGCACAACCGACGUGACCACCGUCCCCUUGGCGACGGCGAGGAACCCGACGACGGCGACCGACGCCACCUGCAGGGCGACCUCCAGCGCCUUCAUCUUCUUCA
Molecule: unclassified non-coding RNA, 311 nt
Filed under: Hevea brasiliensis (rubber tree)
Lineage: Eukaryota; Viridiplantae; Streptophyta; Magnoliopsida; Malpighiales; Euphorbiaceae
Source: RNAcentral